This 88-nucleotide transfer RNA is filed under the name Dehalococcoidia bacterium. RNAcentral's name for it is "tRNA-Ser". It matches the Rfam family "tRNA". From Rfam's summary of the family: Transfer RNA (tRNA) molecules are approximately 80 nucleotides in length. Their secondary structure includes four short double-helical elements and three loops (D, anti-codon, and T loops). Lineage: Bacteria; Bacillati; Chloroflexota; Dehalococcoidia. The record is from RNAcentral.
GGAGCGAUGGCUGAGUGGUUUAAGGCGGCAGUCUUGAAAACUGUUGUGCGUCCGCGUACCGGGGGUUCGAAUCCCUCUCGCUCCGCCG